AACUUACCAGGUCAAGACAUGGGCGUGAUUGACAGGCUAAUGACUUUUCUCGAUUCCAUGGAUGGUGGUGCAUGGUCGCACUUAGUUGGUGCAGUGAUUUGUCAGGUUUAUUCCGGUAACGAACGAGACCUCGGCCUUGUAAAUAGCUAUGCUGCUUACAGGGACAUUGGCGGCUACGCCAAGGAAGCUCGAGGCAAUUGCAGAUCUGGAAUGCCCUUAGAUGUCCUGGGUCGCACGCGUGCUACAAUGACGCCACGAACGAGCUUGCGUGAUGAAAGUUACGCAUAAUCAGCAGUCGGCGUCUUAAGGGAUAGUCUCUUGUAACUGUGGGACUCCAACUAGGAAUGUCUCGUAAGCACAAGUCAACAUCUUGUGUUGAUUACGUCCCUGCUCUUUGUACACACCGCCCGUCGCUCCUACCGAUCGAGUGUUUAGGUGAAUUUGAUGGACGUAAGGAAGUCAAAUAAACCUGAGCACUAGAGAAGAGAAGUCGAGAUGCC
Molecule: ribosomal RNA, 500 nt
Filed under: uncultured Myrionecta
Lineage: Eukaryota; Ciliophora; Litostomatea; Cyclotrichida; Mesodiniidae
Description: bacterial SSU rRNA
Rfam family: Eukaryotic small subunit ribosomal RNA
Source: RNAcentral